GUGAAGUAGAGGUAGGCGGAAUUCCCGGUGUANNNNUGAAAUGCGUAGAGAUCGGGAGGAACACCAGUGGCGAAGGCGGCCUACUGGGCUUUAACUGACGCUGAGGCACGAAAGCAUGGGUAGCAAACAGGAUUAGAUACCCUGGUAGUCCAUGCCGUAAACGAUGAUUACUAGGUGUGGGGGGUCUGACCCCCUCCGUGCCGGAGUUAACACAAUAAGUAAUCCACCUGGGGAGUACGACCGCAAGGUUGAAACUCAAAGGAAUUGACGGGGGCCCGCACAAGCAGUGGAGUAUGUGGAUUAAUUCGAAGCAACGCGAAGAACCUUACCAGGUCUUGACAUCCAGCUAACGAAGUAGAGAUACAUUAGGUGCCCUUCGGGGAAAGCUGAGACAGGUGGUGCAUGGUUGUCGUCAGCUCGUGUCGUGAGAUGUUGGGUUAAGUCCCGCAACGAGCGCAACCCUUACUGUUAGUUGCUACGCAAGAGCACUCUAGCAGGACCGCCGUUGACAAAACGGAGGAAGGUGGGGAUGAUGUCAAAUCAUCAUGCCCCUUAUGACCUGGGCCUCACACGUACUACAAUGGCCGUAAACAGAGGGAAGCAAUACCGCGAGGUGGAGCAAAACCCUAAAAACGGUCCCAGUUCGGAUUGUAGGCUGCAACCCGCCUGCAUGAAGUUGGAAUUGCUAGUAAUCGCGGAUCAGCAUGCCGCGGUGAAUACGUUCCCGGGCCUUGUACACACCGCCCGUCACACCAUGGGAGCCGGUAAUACCCGAAGUCAGUAGUCUAACCGCAAGGAGGGCGCUGCCGAAGGUAGGAUUGGCGACUGGGGUGAAGUCGUAACAAGGUAACC
RNAcentral lists this ribosomal RNA (852 nucleotides) under uncultured bacterium. Its description in RNAcentral is "bacterial SSU rRNA". It matches the Rfam family "Bacterial small subunit ribosomal RNA", at positions 646 to 1501 of the family's 1533-position model. The record is from RNAcentral.